UCUGAAUCGAGCUGCAGUGCAGAACCUGAAUGGGGGCUUGGCCGCGGGUCAGUAUCGUCAAAAUUAGCUCUCUGUUCAAUGAUAUGCAGUCAGCCAGUGGACGCGGUAUAGUUGGGUUCUGACGCCCCUGUUCUGCAGCCUUGUAUGGGGUGUAAGAGCCCCCACAAGGCUGCUUACCACCGCUGGACCCUUUUUCUGUGCACACGAGCGUUUUGGGGGCAACAGCGGGCGAAAAAGCAAUUUAAGAGGACAACAAGAAGAAAGGCUUUAUCUGUUUCUGCUUCAAGAGUGACACCAACAGGUGCAAUGGACGAUCCCAAGAGCACUGACAGCUGUGUUCCUGGCCCUGGUGGCGCAGAGAAGAACUGCCAUGAAGAAUCAACAUUCCUUCUGUGUGAUGUUGGAUAGAGAAUGGCCCUGAGGAGGAAAUGUUAUCCUCAUAAAAUCCUGGGACUCUAAGCCUUGAUGAUAUGAUCUUUUGGAGGGGAGCGGCGGUAAAGACAUUCAGCACCUUAAGACAGAUCUGACUGGAGCUUCACUAAAGACCCACAUGUCUGUGUUAGCAAACUCCACAGCGGAUCCCUCGCGGCGGCGGCAGCAGCACGUCUUCCACUUGUCCACUUCUUCUAUUUUGUAUGGCUGUAAUCUUUCAUCCACCUCAUUGUUCAUACUGUAAUUCCUGUAAACAAACACACAAAGGGUUAAUCUACACAUCAAUGUUCUGUAUACAUGCAAGUACAUGGGACAAUACUGUAAACAUGCCAAUCACUAGUCGACCGAUAUGGGCUUUUUUUUUUCUUUCGUUUUAUUUAAUUUUUAUUGCCCAAUACAAAUGAGGGAAUUUACAGUUGUGAUUUCCUGUCUGGGAAAUGUCACGGAAGUUCAUCAAAUCUUCAGAAAGCAUGAUUUUUAAAACUGACCCAAAGAGUUACUUGCACUUAUGUUAAAGGAAUACUCCGGAUUUAAUACAAGACCACAUUUGUGUCAAUGUUGAUUACCGCAAAUAUUAAUUUUGACUCGUCCUGUGUGUUCCUGUGGGACACUUCCAAUGUAAGUCAAUGGGGUUUAAUCUGUAAACAUUAAAAUACUCACUGUUUCAAAAGUAUAGAUGCAAGGUAUGAACAAUAUGUGUGUUAACAUGAUAUUAGAUGGAUGAAAUCAGGGAUAUAUCAGUGCUGUGUCGCUUUCCAUAUUACGUGGUUUACAUGCGUUAUGUCGUCAUGACAACAAAGUUCUAAAAUUAGAUGUAACUUCACACAGAAAAGGUUUCCAAGCAAUUUUAUCACACUAAAAUCAUGUUAACAUGCAUAAUGUUUACGACUUGUGUCUGCACAUAUUUUAGCCUUUACGGAUUGGCCCCAUUGACUUCCAUUGUAAGCGCCUCACUGUAAAUGCAACCAUAUGAUUUACAUGGGACGAGUCGAAAUACAUUUUUUUUGUGGUAAUCAAUAUUAUGCCACAAAUGCUGUCGAUUGAGCUUAACUCGAACUGAACCAGGAAUAUUCCUUUAAUCUGCAAAAUAUUGGGCGUUGUCGACAAUCUCAUAAUUGCCAAAUGUUGGGCCGACCAAUAUAUGCAAUACGGUGCAAAAGUUUUAGGCAUGUGUGAAAAAUCUUGCAUAGUGAGGAUGUCUUCAAAAUAUAAUGACAAAAAUAAAAACUAUUUAUCACUUAAUGUCAUACAAAGUCCAGUAAACAUAUAAAAGCUAAAUCAAUUUUCGACGUUGCCCCCUUUGCCUUUAAAACAGUCCCAAUUCUCCUAGAUACACCUGGAAACAGUUUUUCUUGGUUGUUGGCCGAAUUUGCCACAGUUCUUCUGUCUAUUUUGGCUGUCUCAACUGUUUCUGUCUCUUUAUAUAAUCCCAGACUGACCCAAUGUUCAAUGGGGGGCUCUGUGAGGGCAAUGCCAUCUGUUGCCGGGCUCCCUGUUCAUCUAUUCUAUUUGCAAAAGUAAUGUUUCUUAGUCUAACAUUUAUAUUUCCUGACACAUUAUAGCUAAAGAUAUAAAUAACCAUUCUAAGACUAAAUGCUUUUGUGAAACAUCUUAAGUGCCUAAAACCUUUGCACAGUACUGUGUAUGUGUAUGUAUAUAUUAUAUAUAUAUAUAUAUAUAUAUAUAUAUAUCGUCUAUCACUACCAAACACACACAGACACCCAAACACUUCAGAUUCACAAUGUCCUUGCCAGAAAACACUUCUAUUUGUCUCCAUCACUAAACGACGUCAAUCAAUACUCACACUUUACAGUAUUUACUGAGGCUAAGAGUCCCCACUUCUCAUGCAGUUACUAAAACUAUGGAGUUCAUUUUUAAUUUUAUUUUGUAGAAUAUUUGCUUUUUAAUUAGUUUUGUUGCUUUGUUAGUAUAUUAAUGUGUAAUCAUGUAUGUUGUGAUAUAGAAAUAGCUGUAGAGACGUAUUGUUUCCUUGUGGUAAGUGACUGAGAUGCUGCCACGGAUUUGAGACACUGAUGAAUGGUGCUAUUUUGGACUUUUAUCUGCUCCUUGGUAAGGAAUGUCAGAUGGUUUUUAUUUUAUAUUUUCGUGUUGGGAGAAGGCGUUGGUACUUGUCUGGUUGUCGUAACUCGGAUCGGAUUGACUUUUCUCCCCGUGUUGUUUUCCGUGCGGCUUUCUCAUUGGAUGGAAAACGGGUUUGUCGAAGAGUUGGCGUUUUUUUGCCUCUGACGCGAUCUUUUUGCAAGAUUACAAAACCGUAGACAGUCGGAGCAAUCACAAAACUGCAAUUAUUAACACUAUUUACCCGUUAAAUGUAAAGGUUUAAUUCAAGAAGUAGUUUCGAUUCCUGGCGCUAGUCACUUCUAGGGUCCCGCGUGAAAUGAAUUUUUACAGGGGGUUUUUAAGCAAUGGCUUCCUUGCGGUUAAAGUGUGUAAUUGUACCCUACUUAAUAUACAGAGUCAACUAUAAAUACGCCAUUUGUAGGUUCAAUCUCCCCAAAACAUUUCCCUGUUUGUUUGAGCGUCCUGACCAGCUCGACGCCGCGACAUUGACUCAAUCAACGAAUCGCAGGAUUGGUGUUCAGAUGCCAGAAGUGGCACAGUAAUUACACACUUUACCUUUAAAUACAUCAAGGACACAUUUGAAUUGAAAUCACUGCAAAACAUGGAGGUGUUGCUGUUGUAGGUUGCUGUGCACAGUCCCAUGUGAAGGUGUUUUAUAUAGUGUACAUACCAGGGCAGCUGUAUACUCCGCACCAGCCGGGAAUAUCUGAUAAAUAAAAUCACAAGUCAUCCGUUUUGCACGCAGGGUCAUUUGAUGUAUUUUCUAGGGCAUCAAAACCAGCGGUCUCAACGAGUGGUUUUGUAAAUGACUUUUAUUCGUUAUACAAACCAAAAGCUUUAUAUUUAUUCCUUUGGGUGAGUCGUUUAAGUAGCAAGGUAUCAUCACUCGGUAUUUGCAGUUUUGUCUUUGCUUCCAGUUAACACAUUAACGAUCCCAAUUCAAAGACCAACUGGAAAGCCCACGUUAGUUUUGUCGUCUUCCAUAUUUUUCCACUCUAGUGGGAAAUUUCCCAGCUUGCUCUAGUCUUUCCUUAUUGCUGACAGCAUAUCCACUGCAUGCUCUUGGUUUUGUUUUUGAUCUAAAUCAUUGUACUUGUAGUUUCCUCACGUAGAAUAGGUAUGCCAACUUUGUUGUAAAUAGCCAGUGAAUUAUAUAUAGAUUGUUGAAUUACUGUCAUAACUGUGUAUUAUUGGUGUACAAACCUGAAGUCUAGCCUUGUGAACUUUAUAAUGAUUCACUAGUAAUUUCAUGACAUUUUGCAACUUAAGCUGUAGUUGAAUAAAUAUGCAAGCUCUCACAA
Molecule: long non-coding RNA, 3815 nt
Organism: Xyrauchen texanus (razorback sucker)
Lineage: Eukaryota; Metazoa; Chordata; Actinopteri; Cypriniformes; Catostomidae
Exons: 4
Source: RefSeq, a predicted model, not a curated record